Exaiptasia diaphana is the source of this 590-nucleotide long non-coding RNA. RefSeq lists it as uncharacterized. Lineage: Eukaryota; Metazoa; Cnidaria; Anthozoa; Actiniaria; Aiptasiidae. The record is from RefSeq and is a predicted model, not a curated record. The transcript has 5 exons.
CAAGAAUAAGCACCAKCAAGGAGUUACAACUUAGUUAGUUGAAGGAAAACUAUUUUUUAGUAAGAAAACAAUUCUCCAGCACAGAGCUCGUUUGUGAAGAUACAGACUGAGGCGAAAAGAAAGUUUCUAACAUGGUUCUUGUCAAGGUGUUUCUCUUAACUCUGCUUUCGUGCCUUGCGGUUCAUGGAUUUCAAGACCUUGAUGUUGAACAAGAUGAUUCUUGUACAAAUAGGGAACGUAAAAUACAAAACUGCGAAUUUUGGGCUCUCAAAGGCUGGUGCCGACCAGGACACGAUGUAAGCUUCGCCACAAGAAAGCUUUGCAAGAGAACAUGCGGGCUCUGUAACGGUGCCAUUGGUUGUGUUGAUGAAUAUGAUAAAUGCAACGUUUACCCGAAAAGCGAUUGCAAUGACAACAACGAUUUCAUGAAAACAAAUUGCCGGGCGACAUGUGGCUUUUGUUGAGAACAUCGAUGCAUCCUGCGUACGUGGUACGACCUUUUAACUCUGAUGGCAACCGACGCUUUCGUGGAUUCUUGAUUUAAAGCUUUCAAAAACAGAAAUAAAUAAAUCUAAACUCAAGAUUUUUAA